This 472-nucleotide ribosomal RNA is filed under the name uncultured bacterium. RNAcentral's name for it is "bacterial SSU rRNA". It matches the Rfam family "Bacterial small subunit ribosomal RNA", at positions 8 to 507 of the family's 1533-position model. The record is from RNAcentral.
AGAGUUUGAUCAUGGCUCAGGAUGAACGCUGGCGGCGUGCCUAACACAUGCAAGUCGAGCGAUUCUCUUCGGAGAGAGCGGCGGACGGGUGAGUAACGCGUGGGUAACCUGCCCUGUACACACGGAUAACAUACCGAAAGGUAUGCUAAUACGAGAUAAUAUGCUUUUAUCGCAUGGUAGAAGUAUCAAAGCUCCGGCGGUACAGGAUGGACCCGCGUCUGAUUAGCUAGUUGGUAAGGUAAACGGCUUACCAAGGCGACGAUCAGUAGCCGACCUGAGAGGGUGAUCGGCCACAUUGGAACUGAGACACGGUCCAAACUCCUACGGGAGGCAGCAGUGGGGAAUAUUGCACAAUGGGCGAAAGCCUGAUGCAGCAACGCCGCGUGAGCGAUGAAGGCCUUCGGGUCGUAAAGCUCUGUCCUCAAGGAAGAUAAUGACGGUACUUGAGGAGGAAGCCCCGGCUAACUACGUG